RNAcentral lists this ribosomal RNA (207 nucleotides) under uncultured bacterium. RNAcentral describes it as "partial 16S ribosomal RNA". It matches the Rfam family "Bacterial small subunit ribosomal RNA", at positions 568 to 774 of the family's 1533-position model. The record is from RNAcentral.
CGUGUAGGCGGCCUGGUCAGCGGAGUGUGAAAGCCCGGGGCUCAACCCCGGAACUGCAUUCCGAACUGCCGGGCUAGAGGACAGGAGGGGGGUCUGGAACUCUAGGUGGAGCGGUGAAAUGCGUAGAUAUCUAGAGGAACGCCGGUGGCGAAAGCGAGGCCCUGGCCUGUCCCUGACGCUGAGGCGCGAAAGCGUGGGUAGCAAACA